Molecule: ribosomal RNA, 256 nt
Filed under: uncultured bacterium
Lineage: Bacteria
Description: partial 16S ribosomal RNA
Rfam family: Bacterial small subunit ribosomal RNA
Source: RNAcentral
UACGGGGGGAGCAAGCGUUGUUCGGAUUUACUGGGCGUAAAGGGCGCGUAGGCGGUCGUGACAAGUCACUUGUGAAAUCUCCGGGCUUAACUCGGAACGGUCAAGUGAUACUGUCGGACUAGAGUACAGAAGGGGCAACUGGAAUUCUCGGUGUAGCGGUGAAAUGCGUAGAUAUCGAGAGGAACACCUGCGGCGAAGGCGGGUUGCUGGGCUGAUACUGACGCUGAGGCGCGAAAGCUAGGGGGAGCGAACGGGG